This 27-nucleotide non-coding RNA is filed under the name Bombyx mori (domestic silkworm). The record is from RNAcentral. Lineage: Eukaryota; Metazoa; Arthropoda; Insecta; Lepidoptera; Bombycidae.
UGAGCAGAGCCCUUGGAUUUGAUAGUA